UACGUAGGGUGCAAGCGUUAAUCGGAAUUACUGGGCGUAAAGCGUACGCAGGCGGCUUUGCAAGACAGGUGUGAAAUCCCCGGGCCUAACCUGGGAACUGCAUUUGUGACUGCAUGGCUAGAGUUUGUCAGAGGGGGUGGAAUUCCACGUGUAGCAGUGAAAUGCGUAGAGAUGUGGAAGAACACCGAUGGCGAAGGCAGCCCCCUGGGAUGUGACUGACGCUCAUGUACGAAAGCGUGGGGAGCAAACAGG
Molecule: ribosomal RNA, 252 nt
Filed under: uncultured bacterium
Lineage: Bacteria
Description: partial 16S ribosomal RNA
Rfam family: Bacterial small subunit ribosomal RNA
Source: RNAcentral